GCCGGGCAUGGUGGCGCACGCCUGUAAUCCCAGUGGCUCAGGAGGCUAAGGCAGCAGGAUCACAAGUUCAAAGCCAACCUCAGCAAAAAGCAAGGCACUAAGCAACUCAGUGAGACCCUGUCUCUA
Molecule: small RNA, 126 nt
Filed under: Marmota monax (woodchuck)
Lineage: Eukaryota; Metazoa; Chordata; Mammalia; Rodentia; Sciuridae
Source: RNAcentral